RNAcentral lists this ribosomal RNA (487 nucleotides) under uncultured bacterium. RNAcentral's name for it is "partial 16S ribosomal RNA". It matches the Rfam family "Bacterial small subunit ribosomal RNA", at positions 28 to 507 of the family's 1533-position model. The record is from RNAcentral.
GAUGAACGCUAGCGAUAGGCUUAACACAUGCAAGUCGAGGGGCAGCACAAGGUAGCUUGCUAUCUGGGUGGCGACCGGCGCACGGGUGCGUAACGCGUAUGCAACUUGCCCUAUACAGGAGGAUAACCCGUCGAAAGACGGACUAAUACUGCGUAUGCUCACAACUUGGCAUCAAGUGGUGAGGAAAGAAAUUCGGUAUAGGAUAGGCAUGCGUCCCAUUAGCUUGUUGGUGAGGUAACGGCUCACCAAGGCAACGAUGGGUAGUGGAACUGAGAGGUUUAUCCCCCACACUGGUACUGAGACACGGACCAGACUCCUACGGGAGGCAGCAGUGAGGAAUAUUGGUCAAUGGGCGCGAGCCUGAACCAGCCAAGUCGCGUGAAGGAUGACUGUCUUAUGGAUUGUAAACUUCUUUUAUACGGGAAUAACAAGAGUCACGGGUGACUCCCUGCAUGUACCGUAUGAAUAAGCAUCGGCUAACUCCGUG